GCUUAACACAUGCAAGUCGAGGGGCAGCAUUUCAGUUUGCUUGCAAACUGGAGAUGGCGACCGGCGCACGGGUGAGUAACACGUAUCCAACCUGCCGAUAACUCGGGGAUAGCCUUUCGAAAGAAAGAUUAAUACCCGAUGGUAUAAUCAGACCGCAUGGUCUUGUUAUUAAAGAAUUUCGGUUAUCGAUGGGGAUGCGUUCCAUUAGGCAGUUGGUGAGGUAACGGCUCACCAAACCUUCGAUGGAUAGGGGUUCUGAGAGGAGGGUCCCCCACAUUGGAACUGAGACACGGUCCAAACUCCUACGGGAGGCAGCAGUGAGGAAUAUUGGUCAAUGGGCGCAGGCCUGAACCAGCCAAGUAGCGUGAAGGAUGACUGCCCUAUGGGUUGUAAACUUCUUUUAUAUGGGAAUAAAGUUUUCCACGUGUGGAAUUUUGUAUGUACCAUAUGAAUAAGGAUCGGCUAACUCCGUGCCAGCAGCCGCGGUAAUACGGAGGAUCCGAGCGUUAUCCGGAUUUAUUGGGUUUAAAGGGAGCGUAGGUGGACAGUUAAGUCAGUUGUGAAAGUUUGCGGCUCAACCGUAAAAUUGCAGUUGAUACUGGCUGUCUUGAGUACAGUAGAGGUGGGCGGAAUUCGUGGUGUAGCGGUGAAAUGCUUAGAUAUCACGAAGAACUCCGAUUGCGAAGGCAGCUCACUGGACUGCAACUGACACUGAUGCUCGAAAGUGUGGGUAUCAAACAGGAUUAGAUACCCUGGUAGUCCACACAGUAAACGAUGAAUACUCGCUGUUUGCGAUAUACAGUAAGCGGCCAAGCGAAAGCAUUAAGUAUUCCACCUGGGGAGUACGCCGGCAACGGUGAAACUCAAAGGAAUUGACGGGGGCCCGCACAAGCGGAGGAACAUGUGGUUUAAUUCGAUGAUACGCGAGGAACCUUACCCGGGCUUAAAUUGCAUUUGAAUAUAUUGGAAACAGUAUAGCCGUAAGGCAAAUGUGAAGGUGCUGCAUGGUUGUCGUCAGCUCGUGCCGUGAGGUGUCGGCUUAAGUGCCAUAACGAGCGCAACCCUUAUCUUUAGUUACUAACAGGUCAUGCUGAGGACUCUAGAGAGACUGCCGUCGUAAGAUGUGAGGAAGGUGGGGAUGACGUCAAAUCAGCACGGCCCUUACGUCCGGGGCUACACACGUGUUACAAUGGGGGGUACAGAAGGCAGCUACCUGGUGACAGGAUGCUAAUCCCAAAAGCCUCUCUCAGUUCGGAUCGAAGUCUGCAACCCGACUUCGUGAAGCUGGAUUCGCUAGUAAUCGCGCAUCAGCCAUGGCGCGGUGAAUACGUUCCCGGGCCUUGUACACACCGCCCGUCAAGCCAUGAAAGCCGGGGGUACCUGAAGUACGUAACCGCAAGGAGCGUCCUAGGGUAAAACUGGUAAUUGGGGCUAAGUCGUA
Molecule: ribosomal RNA, 1441 nt
Filed under: uncultured organism
Description: SSU rRNA
Rfam family: Bacterial small subunit ribosomal RNA
Source: RNAcentral